CAGUAGCCGCGGGAAUACGAAGGGGGCUAGCGUUGCUCGGAAUGACUGGGCGUAAAGGGCGCGUAGGCGGCGAUCAAAGUCAGGCGUGAAAUUCCUGGGCUCAACCUGGGGGCUGCGCUUGAUACUUGGUUGCUUGAGUGGGGAAGAGGGUCGUGGAAUUCCCAGUGUAGAGGUGAAAUUCGUGGAUAUUGGGAAGAACACCGGUGGCGAAGGCGGCGACCUGGUCCUUGACUGACGCUGAGGCGCGAAAGCGUGGGGAGCAAACAGGAUUAGAUACCCGGGUAGUCCCUGUCUCUUAUAC
Molecule: ribosomal RNA, 301 nt
Filed under: uncultured bacterium
Lineage: Bacteria
Description: partial 16S ribosomal RNA
Rfam family: Bacterial small subunit ribosomal RNA
Source: RNAcentral